AAAAUAUCAACAAAAAAAAUUAACGCACAAGCACCGAUAAUGUUCCGGAAAUGACUUUUAAAUUUUGUCUUACUACUUGCAAAAUACUAUAACUAUUCCUGGAAUCAUUUAGAACUUGUUUUAAAAAAUACAAGAAUAAACUUCAUAGCCAUCACAUAGUCAGUCACUACAGUAUUCAACGUCAAAUUACAAUGACCCUUUCGUUUGAGACACAUUCGUCCAGCUCUCGUUUUAAAAAAGUGUCUAUUUUUCUAUAACCGUCGUGACAUGUCAUCUUCUUCAAUCUGUCAAUCAGUGAGCUACAGCACUUCGUACAUCUCAGACGUUUGAUAAUUUUAAAUGUCC
Molecule: non-coding RNA, 345 nt
Organism: Cinara cedri
Lineage: Eukaryota; Metazoa; Arthropoda; Insecta; Hemiptera; Aphididae
Source: the annotation of a GenBank genome assembly